CUUCAAAGUCAAGGUGUUGACGAAAAAAAUUGGUCACAGAAAAUUAAAAUCGUAAUUUUCUUUCUUAACUUCUCGGGAAGCUAUGCUGAAUUUAAAUUAUGUUAUGUACAUGUAACAUAACUUGGACUAUGAUAUGUCAAAUUUGUGCCAGUUGAUAUGCUAAGAUACGCAAAUGUGCCAGUUAGAUGUGUCGAUAUUUCUGACGAAGCGGGGCCGACGGUAAUUCACGAGUUACGUCCCUUUGUUUGACACUUUCAUGAACAAACUAUUGUUAUAUCAAGCCCCAUAUGCUGUUAUUUACAUGUGGAUAUUAUUAAAAAUAAUCUUAUUAAAUAUAUUUUGAUACUGUCAACAUGUGCCAAAAAAAUAGAGAAACACAUUUUAUCACUUUUCAGAACUCAGUCCAAGUGAAAUAG
This 416-nucleotide long non-coding RNA is filed under the name Mytilus galloprovincialis (Mediterranean mussel). Lineage: Eukaryota; Metazoa; Mollusca; Bivalvia; Mytilida; Mytilidae. The record is from RNAcentral.